Molecule: ribosomal RNA, 499 nt
Filed under: uncultured bacterium
Lineage: Bacteria
Description: partial 16S ribosomal RNA
Rfam family: Bacterial small subunit ribosomal RNA
Source: RNAcentral
AAUCAACGCUGGCGGCGUGCCUAACACAUGCAAGUCGAGCGGCAGCGCGGGGCAACCUGGCGGCGAGCGGCGAACGGGUGAGUAAUGCAUCGGAACAUGUCCAUGUCGUGGGGGAUAGCCCGGCGAAAGCCGGAUUAAUACCGCAUAAGCCCGGGAGGGGAAAGCAGGGGACCGCAAGGCCUUGCGCGAUUGGGUUGGCCGAUGUCCGAUUAGCUUGGUGGUGAGGUAAAGGCUUACCAAGGCGAUGAUCGGUAGCUGGUCUGAGAGGAUGAUCAGCCACACUGGGACUGAGACACGGCCCAGACUCCUACGGGAGGCAGCAGUGGGGAAUUUUGGACAAUGGGGGCAACCCUGAUCCAGCCAUUCCGCGUGAGUGAAGAAGGCCUUCGGGUUGUAAAGCUCUUUUGUCCGGAGCGAAACGGUGGCGGUGAAUAUCCGCCACUACUGACGGUACCGGAAGAAUAAGCACCGGCUAACUACGUGCCAGCCGCCGCGGUAA